The sequence is a transfer RNA, 73 nucleotides long. It matches the Rfam family "tRNA". Rfam says of the family: Transfer RNA (tRNA) molecules are approximately 80 nucleotides in length. Their secondary structure includes four short double-helical elements and three loops (D, anti-codon, and T loops). The record is from Rfam.
GGGCCUUUAGCUCAGUUGGGAGAGCGCUUGCUUCGCAUGCAAGAGGUCGUCGGUUCAAAUCCGGUAAGGUCCA